Molecule: long non-coding RNA, 69 nt
Organism: Maniola jurtina (meadow brown)
Lineage: Eukaryota; Metazoa; Arthropoda; Insecta; Lepidoptera; Nymphalidae
Exons: 3
Source: RefSeq, a predicted model, not a curated record
AAUGUAAAUUUAAUAGUCUCCUGAAAGCUUGUGAUUUUCCACACAGCGGAGUUUUCAUACGCAGCGACG